Molecule: ribosomal RNA, 845 nt
Filed under: uncultured archaeon
Lineage: Archaea
Description: bacterial SSU rRNA
Rfam family: Archaeal small subunit ribosomal RNA
Source: RNAcentral
GCUUAAAGGGGCCGUAGCUGGUUAGAUAAAUCUCUUGUGAAAUCGUGGAGCUUAACUUCACGGCGUGCAGGAGACACUAUUUGACUUGGAACCGGGAGGAGUAAGAGGUAUUCUGGGGGGAGCGGUAAAAUGCUAUAAUCCCCGGAGGACCACCGAUAGCGAAGGUAUCUUACUAGAACGGAUUCGACAGUGAGGGACGAAAGCCAGGGGAGCGAACCGGAUUAGAUACCCGAGUAGUCCUGGCAGUAAACGCUGCGAGCUAGGUGUUGCAUAUCCUUCGUGGAUUUGCAGUAUCGUAGAGAAGUCGUUAAGCUCGCCGCCUGGGAAGUAUAGUCGCAAGGCUGAAACUUAAAGGAAUUGGCGGGGGAGCACUACAAGGGGUGCGGCGUGCGGUUUAAUCUAACUCAACGCAGAAAAUCUCACCAGGAACGACGGCAGGAUGAAAGUCAGGCUAAAGACCUUACUUGACAAGCCGAGAGGUAGUGCAUGGCCGCCGUCAGCUCGUGCCGUAAGGUGUCCUCUUAAGUGAGGUAACGAGCGAGACCUAUACCUACAAUUACCAUCAGGCCUUUUUGGGUGACUGGGUACAUUGUAGGGACUGCCUUGGAAACAAGGAGGAAGGUGUAGGCUACGGUAGGUCUGUAUGCUCCGAAUUCCCUGGGCUACACGCGCGCAACAAUGGUAGGGACAAUGGGCCACAAUUUCGAAAGGAGAAGUUAAUCCUCUAAACCCUAUCUUAGUUCAGAUUGAGGACUGUAACUCGUCCUCAUGACGAUGGAAUCCCUAGUAAUCGGACGUCAACAUCGUCCGGUGAAUAUGUCCCUGUUCCUUGUACCCACCGCCCG